RNAcentral lists this non-coding RNA (21 nucleotides) under Caenorhabditis elegans. The record is from RNAcentral. Lineage: Eukaryota; Metazoa; Nematoda; Chromadorea; Rhabditida; Rhabditidae.
UGUGUUCGUAAGUCAGAGAUC